AGGUGGGGCCCUUAGCCCAGUGAGGAGAGCAUCAGGGAAGGAGACAGACAUAGGCUGCUCCCUGUUCCUGAAUGAGAUGAUGCCCUGGACCAGUGAAAACCUGACCCAGAGGAGGGACUCAGGUUACCAGAACUGCCGGCUGCAGAGAACCCUGAGGAACUGGAAGAGCCGGGCAGCAACCUGAGCCCAAGUGAGCCUGAUACUGAGGGUUAGCUGGGGCUACCGGCGGCUGAAUACCCCAACAAGUUGGAGGAACCAGAGGGACCCACUGGAGAGACCGGGUACAAAGUAGCCCAGGGGUGGAACUGGACAGUGUGGUGAGUUAGUGUUUGGUCAGCGUGUUGUGGACAGAUCCCCACUGACCCAGUGGCAGGAUGCUCCACCACUGUCAGGGUCCUGGGCUGGAACGCAGUGGAGUCGGGUGGGCCUUCGUUCCCCUGCCACCCUGCCUUGGGGUGGCAGAAGACUGAUAAAGUGCUAAGGACUCUAGCUGGUGCUCUGCUGCCUGAGGGGCACGCCACAGGCUUUGGCCAGCGCUCCCGUGUCAUGCCAAUUGUGAUGUCCCACCUCCCUCUGCUAUUUCCCGUCGUCAGAGAGGUGUGACCAGGGCCUUUCAGAGAGGCAGUAGCUCCCCACCGCCCCCCAGCGGCUUGGCAGACCAACUGAGACCGUGCUACAGCGCUGUACAGACACAGUAUGAAGUCAAGGUCAUUGCCCUGAAGAGAUUAUGUAAAUUUACAAUGUACAGCUGAAAAGCUACCAUCUUGCAACCCCUUGUAUACAUGCUUCUCUUUACUACCAUGAAUGGACUCACUGAUUUCAAGCGUAGGACAAGACAGGAGUAGAACAGCAACAAGCAAGAGUGCUUCAAACCACAUCUUGCCACAAAUAUGACUGAGUGUCUUCUGUUGUCUUUCUCCUCUUCAGCCAAUACAUUUGUUCGGGAGGGGCAAGAACUAGGGCUUACAGGUCUUUUGGAAGUUUAUUCUAAGGAGGGACCCAAAGGAUGAAAGGUGGCGGGCAUGGCAGUGCCUGGCACAGAAUUCUGCACAGAAAAAAAUGCUUGGGAGCAAGUAUGAGCUGCUGCUAUUGUGGACUUCAGCAUCUCCCCCUCCAUACCCGAACUAGAUAAGGAGGAGAAAGAAGAGGACUCGGGAUGGCAUGUUCCAGGAGAUCCUGCAAGCCAGUGCUGCAUCAGAGAACAAGACCAGGACCUGGAGGAUGACUCUUGCAGAUAGCAUGGAGAAGGAUAGAGUAAAGAGGAGAAAGACACAAGAAAAGGAGAGGGACAUGCAGCAGGAGAUGCUUGCACUUCUCAGACAGAAACAGAGAUUUUGCAGACUCUGGUAGACCUGCAGGUUCAACAAUCCCAUGCUCACCUCCUUCUGCAGCCCAUAAUGAACUCAGAUAUCUGGACCUUGUUAUACCCUCUCCCCAACAUUCUAUGUGGCAUCAGGGGUCGGUGCACUACCCUUAUCACUCCACCUGGGUUGGGGGAGAGGACACUAAAGACAAUCAAUCACAGCUUCACAUAUGCUGACCUGUGAAAGCGUGUAUGUGUACCUGUAAAAUGGAGUGUUCUUUCCCAUUCAUUAGUUCUGUUCCCUUAAUUUAUUACGUUUUGAA
Molecule: long non-coding RNA, 1626 nt
Organism: Mauremys reevesii (Reeves's turtle)
Lineage: Eukaryota; Metazoa; Chordata; Testudines; Geoemydidae
Exons: 2
Source: RefSeq, a predicted model, not a curated record